This 66-nucleotide transfer RNA is filed under the name Anomis mesogona. Its description in RNAcentral is "tRNA-Ser". Lineage: Eukaryota; Metazoa; Arthropoda; Insecta; Lepidoptera; Erebidae. The record is from RNAcentral.
AAUUAAUGAGCUUGUUAAAGCAUAUGUUUUGAAAACAUAAGAAAGAAUUUAUUAUUCUAUUAAUUU